RNAcentral lists this ribosomal RNA (251 nucleotides) under uncultured prokaryote. RNAcentral's name for it is "partial 16S rRNA". It matches the Rfam family "Bacterial small subunit ribosomal RNA", at positions 525 to 775 of the family's 1533-position model. The record is from RNAcentral.
ACGUAAGUUGCGAGCGUUAUCCGGAAUCACUGGGCGUAAAGCGUUCGUAGGCGGUGUAGUAAGUCGGAUUUGAAAGCCCGGGGCUCAACCCCGGAUCCGGAUCCGAAACUACUAUACUUGAGUGUAUCAGAGGGUGGUGGAAUUCCCGGUGUAGCGGUAAUAUGCGUAGAUAUCGGGAGGAACACCAGUGGCGAAGGCGACUACCUGGGGUACUACUGACGCUGAGGAACGAAAGCUAGGGGAGCGAACGG